CCUACGGGCGGCAGCAGUGAGGAAUAUUGGUCAAUGGGCGCGAGCCUGAACCAGCCAAGUAGCGUGAAGGAUGACUGCCCUACGGGUUGUAAACUUCUUUUAUAAAGGAAUAAAGUGAGGCACGUGGGCCUUUUUGUAUGUGCUUUAUGAAUAAGGAUCGGCUAACUCCGUGUCAGCAGCCGCGGUAAUACGGAGGAUCCGAGCGUUAUCCGGAUUUAUUGGGUUUAAAGGGAGCGUAGAUGGGUUGUUAAGUCAGUUGUGAAAGUUUGCGGCUCAACCGUAAAAUUGCAAUUGAUACUGGCAGUCUUGAGUACAGUUGAGUUUGGCGGCAUUCGUUGUGUAGCGGUGACAUGCUUAGAUAUCACG
Molecule: ribosomal RNA, 366 nt
Filed under: uncultured bacterium
Lineage: Bacteria
Description: partial 16S ribosomal RNA
Rfam family: Bacterial small subunit ribosomal RNA
Source: RNAcentral